Non-coding RNA from Cyanistes caeruleus (blue tit), 6439 nucleotides. The record is from RefSeq and is a predicted model, not a curated record. NCBI's taxonomy places the organism in Eukaryota, Metazoa, Chordata, Aves, Passeriformes, Paridae.
CGCGCUCUGCUGCCAUCGGAACCGGCCGCGUGCCCCGGCACUGCCCCAGCACUGGCACCGGGACAGCUAUCGGCACCGCCACGGCCAUGGGAACUGGGAUCGACACUGGGACUGGGACUGACUCCGGGACUGACACCGACACGAGGACGGGGAUCGGCAGCGGAACUAGGAACGGGACCGGCACCGAGACCGGCGCUGGAACCGAAACCGGAAGCGGCACCAGGACUCGGACCUAGACAGGGACUGGGACCGGCCCCGGCACCGAGAUUGGCACUGGGACCGGAAUUGCCAUCGGGAUCGGGACUGCGACCAAGACCGACGCUGGGAUAGGUAUCGGGUCAGGGACAGGAACCGGGGAUAGGUCACCGGGGCCAGCACCAGGACUGAAGCCACCCUGCCCAGAGCACCCCGUUCCCACAGCCCGGUGCCUUCCUCUUUCCCAUCCCCUUGAAACAGCCGGUCCCGGGCGCACCUCCCUCCCCGAGAGCCCCAGGAAGGGCCUGGAGGGGCAGGUGUGGAUCGAGGGGAACCCUGGGUGGGGCCUGAAGGAAACUCUCUUCCCUGGAGCAGUGCUGGAAGUGGGGCAAAGAUGGCCUCAUGCCCUUGGAGGAGCCCUUCAGAAAAUGAUGAAGGUCCCAAGGGACCACUUGAAGUGGUCCCUGAAGGCGAUCUGUGGGAAGCACUGGGGCCAAAAGGUCCAAGGGGCUACUGAGUGCUCAGGGCAGCCCCAGGGAGGGCCAAAGGAUAACCUCAAAGAGUGCUUGUUCCCUCGUAGCCAUCCCUGGGGGAGGCUGUGGUAAGUCCAGCCUGUGGAGCUGGAAACACUUGCAGAAGGGAUCUCAGACCUGCAGGACGUGUCAUGGGAGAGAUGUUUCAAGCCCCUGUACUUGCUCCUUCUGAUGUCUGCGUAAACAGUUUGAGGAUUUCAGCUGAAUCCUCACUCAUUUGGUCGGGGUCCGUGGGUGUUUGGGUUGCUUGAAGCAGCAGACUUGGCUCCCUCGUCAUGGGCUGUUGGGCUUCGCCUGCUCCGUGGAGCCCCUGAGAAGGGCUGGUGGGAUCUCGGGAUCUUCCCAGGCAGGGCGAGUGCCUGUUCUGCUCCUGACAGGCGUUUGCCUGAGCUGUUCCUCCCUGGCACACCCAGUGCUGAGCUCUGGAGGUCACCAAGCACCUCCCUCACACCCCGCGGCCAGAAACGCUCCCGAGUCUUGGCCUGGGAGGUACCUCCCUUCCUUUUCGCAGGAUUGCUUCUCAGCAGCAUCACAGCUGUGACACUUUCUCUGUGCCCAUGUCCCUACUCUGUGCCCUCAUCUCUUCUAUCUGCCCACGUCCUCUCCCUGUGACCGUGUUCCUUCUCCAUGCCCACCUCUCCAGCCCCGUUUCCAGUGGCUCCCGGAGGAUGACUCCAAACUGAUGCAGAGCUGUCCAAAUCCAGCUCCUCAGUGACAUCUUGUGCUGGGAAUGCUCACCGCAGGCUGGAAAAAAGUUCCCGCAAUUGUUUUUUCCUGCCGUCUGACAUCGCUGUAGUGAAACCACGGGGAUUCCCUGAGCUCAUUUGUAAGGUUUUCUUUGGGAACAUCUUGUCCUUCCAUGGAGACAGCCAGACAGUGGUAUUGCCUUUGACAGAGCUGGGUACAAAGCUCUGGAAAAGCAUCCACUUCCUUCAAAACAUUCCCUGUGCUCUUUUGUACCAUUUAGACAAUAAUAAUAAUUCACCCAAAGUUCCUCACUGUGAUGAGACUGCACAUAUGAAUUCUUGGGAUGCAAUUCAAACCUUGUUUCUCAGCCAAUUUCCAGAAAGAAAAUUCCCUUCAAAGGCUCUAAUGGCACCAGUCACCCCUGGGAAACGCUUGGUCUUAACAGGGAAAGCUUCCAAGUGCUGCCUGCUGUGCCAGCAGAGCUGCAGCCCUGCAGCAUCCAGAUGAGUGCAAAACCAGGUCUGAGCUUCUGAAGAAACUUUACUUCCAGACUCAAACUCAGAAAUGAAAUGUUAAAAAGCCACUUUUUGAUGAAAGUAAAAUCUGAUGGGGUUUCUUUCAGGGUGGUAGUAGCUGAAGCAGAGGACAUCCCUGAGCUGGCAGCCCUGCCAGUGGCAGGGAGACCAACAAGGGAUGCUCCAGGCUUCUGUGGAGACUGUACCAAGCCCUUAUGGGUCACCAUGGCCUUGCAGAGCACUGACCCCCAGCUCCCAAUACCCCUUGGCUGUGACAUUAUGCCCUCGAGGCCACUGUCCCCAUCCCCACCAUGCCCAGACAGGUGCUGCUGGCACCUGCUCACGGUGGCUGCAGCUGGCAUGGGAAGCUCAGUCAGCCCGUGGCUGGAACACCCAUCACAGACACAACCAUGCUGCUAUAUCACACGUGGGGGACAUGGCUGAGGCUGGGUAACACACAUUCAAGUCUUUCCUUGGCCACUCUCGUCAUGAUGGGAAUAAAUCCAGGAGAAGCUGUUAUGGAUGGCGUGAGAAGCUGUAAAAUGUGAAGAAAUAUUUAAAUGUGAGACAAAUGGGUGAGGAGGGAAUUUGGCACAGGAGGAGAUGCAGUUCAGAAGUGGAGGCCAUACCAUGCAUAUUUCAUGGGCUAGACCUCAGCAGAGGCUUCUUUGACACCACAAACAUCACAUACGGCAAGGAGCAACAGCAGCCACUCCCAGCACCUGGGAAGGACAAACUGUGGGGUGAUUGCUCCUCCUGCCUCAUGGUAGAAGUAGGCCAAGGCACAGGACCUGGAAACUGCUGGCUCUGCUUCUUGAGUGUGGGACCAGCCUUCCUUACCUUCCUCUUCCUUCAGCCCAGUGCCAGGCUAGGGGCAAGCCUGCCCCAUCCUUGGGACCGGGGCUCUGACCUUGCUGUCUCACAUAAAUAAACACUCGGGGAUGGAAAAUUUCAAGCCCUCCAGCCCUGCUGCCCCAGCACUCUGUGCUUCCAGCAUUGCUCCUCUGAGGUUUCCUUGGAGAAUGCUGACUCAGGUCCUUCUCUGUUAGGUGUUUCUCACUGAUCAUAUGCCUGAUUUGUGCCCAGCACCUGUGCUACCAAAUCAUUCCCACUGCAGGCCAGCAUGCAGGAGGGACACCUGCACUGUGUGGGAGCAGAAUGAAUCCUCAGCUGUUAUCAGGCUCUAUCAUAGGUACCCCUUGGAGCAGCAGGUGCUGGGGUGGCAGGAGCUGGGUGGGUCAGUCUGACAUGGAUACAUUGAAAAAACCCAAGAGAAGGUGGACUCGAGGAUGGCGCUUCCCAAAUUGCAGCCAUGUAUGGGUUCUCAUCUUGUAGGGGGUUAUUUUUCUUCACAAGAGACUUCAUCUCCCUCUGUGCAACUCUUCAGGGAGAAUUCCACAUCCACUACUGUCCCCUCUGUGGGGAUAGACCCCUGUGGGGUGAAAACUCCCAGCCUUAGGAUGGGGUAUGUUUGGAUGAGUUGCUACUCUCAGACCCUCCCAAGCCCCCAGUCAGCCUCAGUGUCACCCUCCUGGGGAUCACUCUGACUUGUGCCACAUUAUGGACCACAUUCGGGCAGCAGGAUGGAGGAACCAGCCUUCCUUCUCACAGCUGGGGAACCAGGGAACUGCAUCCUUCCCCUUGCACUUGGUGCUGCAGAGGUUGGCCCUGGGAGGUUCAGCUGCUCCAGCAGGAUUAGGGGUGAUCCCCAUCCAGGUGUGGUACAGGCAGGUGAGGCUGCAGCACUUGGUGUCCUGCCUCUGUGAGACCAGAAUAGGAGUUUUGGGAACUUGCUGGUCACCUGGGGAAUCACAGGGUGGGAGCUCCAGCUCCUGGGGCAUUCCUUUGGAUUGGGGUCCCUGGAGAGAGCAGCUGAGCACUGCCACAGACCUGGCAGAGGAAAGAGAUGCUGGGUGGCUCCUCUUGCAGCUGAUCUCCUGGCCAGCCCAGACCUUGCUUUCCCAGCAUGGCUGGGAUUUUGAAAGCUGGGCUGUGUUCUGAUCCCUGGAAUUUUCCACUUGCAUCCCAAUGAUUUUUGGUGAAUUGCUUGCAGCCUAAGAAAUAAAUAUCUUCUUGAUUCUUCCUGUGAGUUCCUGGGUGGGGCUCAGCAGCCAUGUGAAAAUACCCAGGUGAAUUCCUGUUUCCAUAAAGGUCAAUGCUGUUAAAAAAAUUAAUUGCCUCUGAAAGGGAACCUAGGAGAUACCCAAGGCAGGGAAAGACACAUCAGACUUACCACAUCAGUUAAUUCUAUUUUUUUGCAGAGAGACCUUCUUUUUUUCCAUCCACUGGAAGAAGGGGGUCAUGUGAGAUGUCCACAAGUGUGCUUGAGGGAAAAGGAACAUCAGUGGAGACCUGAAACGAUUUUGCUGCUCUUACAGCUGAGAAAAGAUCACGCUGGAAGGUUUCUGUGGAAGUGGGGCCUGGGGAAUGGACAUGAGAAACUUUUUUUCCCAGCUGACUCUCUUGGCGGGUGAGUUGUUUACAGAGCCUGGAUGCCAGAGUACCUGGAAGGGAGCCAGCUCUGUUUUAGCCCUUUGUAAAUGAUUUAAACACCUCUGCUGGGGAAACAUUCCCAGGAAAGGGCUCUUCUUCCUGAGAGGACCAGGGAUGUGCAGGAGAUGGUGGGAGGCAGAAGGAGCCAGUCCUGGCAGGCACAGCAGGAGUACAUGGUGGGGAUGGCUGUGCCCCUCCUGUCCCCCAAGAGCUGCUGCUGGGACCUGAACCAGCUGUUCCUAGUCCAGCUGGCCAGAGGCAUCCUCCCAAACCCCUCUCAGGUGAUGUUCCUAAGGAGCCCCUCUAUUUUUUGCAGCCCUUGCCUGCCAGGAGCAUCCCCUGGGAAGGCCAAUGGAGUCAAAGGUCCCAGGUGCCCUGUGGGACCCCAGCGAGGUGGUGACACGGGGCAGAGCUCCCUGCAGCAGCUGGAGGCAACCACACAUCAUGGGACUGGGGACAAGCUCCUGAGGCUGGAGCAGGGCAACUCCAACCCCCCCUUACCCUUGAGGAGCUGGCUGCUCCUUAUUGAUUAAUGUGGUGGCUCAUUUCUCCAGAAAUAGGCUCUAUUGUACUGAGCCCCUGGAAACAGAUUUGUCUCACAGCAAAACCUGAUUGAUUCAACGGCAGCUGCAGCUCCAGCAAGGGCCUGGUGGCCACAGAGCCUGGAUGGUCCUUGCCAGAGAGAGCUUCUGGCUAGAGGAGGUUUCAGGCUGGUUCAGGCCAAAGUAAUUUCCUCUCAUUAGAGCUGCUGAUACAGCUGGAAAAAGCGAGCUGUCUCUCCAAAGCCUCAUCUUCCAGUGAAGGGCAGCAUCCACCCAGCAGAUCUUGGGGUGUUUGCCUGCCCCAGCUUCUUGUCCUUCUGGCUAUGGCUCUUUGCACUGGAACUCGGAAAGAAAAAUACUCAGGGAUGGAAAAUUUCAAGCUUAGGUAAAGUUGGACAGAAUCCAACUUGGCAAGUGAGACUUAGCAGAGAGACCCAGCAAAGGUUUUUCCUUGUGCUGACAUUUUUGCUCUGUGCUUUGGGGAGCCUCUCUGCAGCUCUGCUUCAGCCAGGUCAGGCUCUGCCAGUGUAAGAGGUGAUGUUAACACCACCACAUGUGACUUUCUCUGGGUUUUCCCAAUUAUUUAUUUUUUUUUAUUGUCUCUGGAGCUGUGGAUAUUUCAGAAGCAGACACUGCAGUGGUUUUACAUCCUGUGGGGAUAGCUGUCCUGUCAGCUCACCCCACUCCCAGAGGUGGCCCAGAGGCUUUGAUCCUCUGGCUGCUUGUCCACAGCAGACACUGCACAUUAUGGUAGCACCAGAACAACCCUGACACAGCCCAGAUAAAUCACCUGAUGGAAAUGAGGAGCUGGGAUUUUGUUGCAAACUCUGGUUACUGGUAACCAAAAGCAAAGAAUUACUCUGUAUCUGUGUGUUGCUGGCUGGCUCUGGGAUGCACAUGAGGGUGAGCAGGGGACAUGCUGUAGACUGCUGUGACUCCAUCUCCCUUCCGUGAAUUCUUCCACCCAUACCUUGCCAGAGGAUGCCAACCCAUCCCUGCACAGUUUGAGGAGCUCUGCAGAAGGACCUUCAUGGGCUGUCCUGAGUCCUGGGCUCCUCUACGCCAGGAAGGACUGGCACUCCUUGUGGACCCCAGGAGUCACUGAGAAAGUCCCCAGGUGCUGAGGUCAAAAGCCUCAAAUUUCACCUGUGGAGAAACAAGGAGAUUAUAUCUGAGUCAUUCCAAAGUUGAAACAAUUUUUGUUUGUCUUUAUGCUCCAGGCAUUUUAUUUAUUUAUUUAUUUAUUUAUAAAAAAGAGAAAGGCAGCAAAUUCAAGGUAAAAUAAAAGCAAUUUGAAGAUGAGAGAUGAACCUACUCCGCUGUAAAUUUGGAGAAACCAUCACCAAAUUUGAUGUGGGGUUGCUGUCCUCUCCUUCCCUCCAGGGAGCACUGUGGCAUCUCCUUUCCCCUGGAUUUUGGAGAGAAUGGAUUUGUCUUUCUUACCCAGAGACAGAAAUAAAAUUCCAACAACCUG